GACGAACGCUGGCGGCGUGCCUAACACAUGCAAGUCGAACGGAACUGUUUUGAAAGCUUUCUUCGGAAUGAAUUUGAUUUAGUUUAGUGGCGGACGGGUGAGUAACGCGUGAGUAACCUGCCUUCAAGAGGGGAAUAACAUUCUGAAAAGAAUGCUAAUACCGCAUGACAUAUCGCAACCACAUGGUUUUGAUAUCAAAGAUUUUAUCGCUUGAAGAUGGACUCGCGUCCGAUUAGUUAGUUGGUGAGGUAACGGCUCACCAAGACCGCGAUCGGUAGCCGGACUGAGAGGUUGAACGGCCACAUUGGGACUGAGACACGGCCCAGACUCCUACGGGAGGCAGCAGUGGGGGAUAUUGCGCAAUGGGGGCAACCCUGACGCAGCAACGCCGCGUGAAGGAUGAAGGUUUUCGGAUUGUAAACUUCUUUUAUUAAGGACGAAAAUGACGGUACUUAAUGAAUAAGCUCCGGCUAACUACGUG
This 481-nucleotide ribosomal RNA is filed under the name uncultured bacterium. RNAcentral's name for it is "partial 16S ribosomal RNA". It matches the Rfam family "Bacterial small subunit ribosomal RNA", at positions 28 to 507 of the family's 1533-position model. The record is from RNAcentral.